Drosophila kikkawai is the source of this 1156-nucleotide long non-coding RNA. RefSeq lists it as uncharacterized. NCBI's taxonomy places the organism in Eukaryota, Metazoa, Arthropoda, Insecta, Diptera, Drosophilidae. The record is from RefSeq and is a predicted model, not a curated record.
AGCUGUGUUUGCCAUUUGAACAACACUGCUGUAUUUUGCAUUAAAAAGUGUAUAACAAUAUUCGUCUUGACUUUUAAUUUUGCUAUAAAUGUUUUUGUGUUUUCCCCGAUCACUCGCAAAACAAAUGCAAAGGCAAACACAAAAUCAGUGGGGCUAAGAAUUCGCUUAAUUAGAGGUCAUAGGCUCAACGUGAUCGUGUUUUUAUACGAAAUACUAUGAAGUAUCACCUAAGAUCCAGUUUGGGAAGUUUCUCGAUAUAAUCAGUGUAUUUAUUUUAGCAAUCAAAGGUCGCGCCUGCCUACGAAAUUGGUUCUGCAUUAACCUUGCCGUUGAUAAAUAAUAAAAGCUGACAAAAAAUAAUAACAAAUUUCAAUAAGCGCUAAUGUUAACGAACUUUGUAAACUUAAAGGCAAGGUUACAGCUAAGGCAGACACAGCAACGGCCAGAAAAGCUCCAAAAUUAUACGAGACGUAAAAAGGCAAACUCAAGUGCGCGAACGCUGCGAUGUGUAGUAUAAAGUAUAAAGUCGCAGAGCGUUAAAAAUAAAAUAUAUAAAAUCAGACACGCAACAGCGACGGCUGCCAGCAGUGUUUUCUAUAGAAAACGAAAAUUAUUUCCUGUUUUCAGCCAUAACAGCCGCGCGUGGUGAGAAGUACCAGAUAGUAUAACAGAGCAGGAGGAGUGUGGGUGGGGGCGGGUGUAAUGCUCUCUUCCAUGCAGGGCUAACAGAGGAGAGCGUGCCACAAAACCAAAACGCAAUUGUGCGGGAGGUGGGGUAAGAUGGCAACAGAAAGAGUCACAAAGGUGCUCCCAAACAAUGCGUAAAAAGCGAACAAAAAGAGGGUGAUUGAUAACAAGGUGCGUCUUACAAAUGUUCACUGGCUGCCCGCGACGGAAUACGAAAAUUCUUCAGACCCCCAAUCUAUGAGUAUGGAAAAUGUUAAAAUUAAUAAUGUUUAUGUUUACGUAAUUACUGGAAACAAUAUUUGUAAACAUUACUAAUUACUUAUAUUAAUCGGAAAUGUAAGACGAGAUUUUGUUAGUUUUAAUUUGUUGUCACCACUAUUUUUACAUCAGAAAAUCUAAAAAAACUGUGUAAUUCCCUUAACUUUAGUUAUUUAAGUUUGCUCUACCAAAAUAUAAUAUUUACAAGUUA